GACGAACGCUGGCGGCGUGCCUAAUACAUGCAAGUAGAACGCUGAAGGAGGAGCUUGCUCUUCUGGAUGAGUUGCGAACGGGUGAGUAACGCGUAGGUAACCUGCCUGGUAGCGGGGGAUAACUAUUGGAAACGAUAGCUAAUACCGCAUAACAUUGACUAUUGCAUGAUAGUCAAUUGAAAGGUGCAAAUGCACCACUACCAGAUGGACCUGCGUUGUAUUAGCUAGUUGGUGGGGUAACGGCUCACCAAGGCGACGAUACAUAGCCGACCUGAGAGGGUGAUCGGCCACACUGGGACUGAGACACGGCCCAGACUCCUACGGGAGGCAGCAGUAGGGAAUCUUCGGCAAUGGACGGAAGUCUGACCGAGCAACGCCGCGUGAGUGAAGAAGGUUUUCGGAUCGUAAAGCUCUGUUGUAAGAGAAGAACGAGUGUGAGAGUGGAAAGUUCACACUGUGACGGUUUCU
RNAcentral lists this ribosomal RNA (468 nucleotides) under uncultured Streptococcus sp. Its description in RNAcentral is "bacterial SSU rRNA". It matches the Rfam family "Bacterial small subunit ribosomal RNA", at positions 28 to 480 of the family's 1533-position model. The record is from RNAcentral. Lineage: Bacteria; Bacillati; Bacillota; Bacilli; Lactobacillales; Streptococcaceae.